Molecule: long non-coding RNA, 1790 nt
Organism: Beta vulgaris subsp. vulgaris (sugar beet)
Lineage: Eukaryota; Viridiplantae; Streptophyta; Magnoliopsida; Caryophyllales; Amaranthaceae
Exons: 5
Source: RefSeq, a predicted model, not a curated record
AUUAAAGCACCGCUCUAUUUCAAAUAUUUGAUGAAAUAUAUUAAUGCUAUCCUUAUCCGCGUAUUAAGCGGUAACCACCUAAGUAGUGGAAAGUGGAAAGUGGAAAGUGGAAACUGAAAUACUGGACGAGUACUGUCAGUGGGAGAAAUUGCAGGAUACAGCGUUAUUAUUAUUUUUUUUUUUAAAUUACUCAACAACGAACCGUAAUCUGAUGAGAUCGUAUGCAUAUGGUUCAAUCUACUAAAUACGGGUGACGCAAACUCCAUACUUGAUUGAUUUUCUCUGCAAAUUACUCAAGGUUGAAUUUACAAGUUCUCUGUUCGGUGCAACCCUGGGGAUUCAAACUGAAUUGCGCUACAUACUCGAUUGAUUCAAUCUGCAAUUACUCAAAGUGUAUUCUAACGUCGUCGCCGUUGCAAGACAAGAUCGAUCUGGAUGGACUUUCUUGUACUGAAAUUCUGGGUUAGCUGCAAGUGUAAUUCAGCAAGAAGAAUUUCUAACGUUGUCGGAUGGAUUUGGAUGGACUUUCUUGUACUGAAAUUAUGGGGCUAGCUGAUGCUGCAAGUGUAAUCCAGCUAGAACAAUUUCAAACCCCAGCAGAUGCUAUUGGAAUUAACAAUCAUGUUGCUGCAUCUGAACCUACUUUGGUGUUCCUAGAGUGACAUUGCCUCAUAGGUGUAUCUAUUACAUUUCAAACAAAACAAAUUUGGCUAAAUCUCGACUUCCUAAUUCAGACUCGGGAUGGUCAACCAAUGUGAAAUUUGAUGCAAAGAGGGAGGUUAUAAUCACAGAUAUGAACUCGUAAUUUGUUUUUGCUAAUUGAGGUCUGCAUAUGUGCUCUUAGCAUUGCUUAUGGCUUUUGAUAUGUUCUUAUUCUGUGUGACAACUGACAAGGUGUGAAAUUAUUAAUAGUAUAUCUAUAUCGUGACGUUAUAAUAGGACAGAGAUGAACAUUAGCUAAAAGAUCUUGUGAUCUGAUAAUGAUGUCUUGUUUUAGAAGUGCAACUUUCUUUAGGGUAAAGAACCGAUCAUCUCAACUUUGCAAUUUUCUGCAGCCCAUCUUCUCAUCUCUUUACCCUCCUCUAAUUCCAUUAAACUUCUCACUGUACUUUCUAUUGUAGUUUAUGUAACCAGCUCAAUUUAUACCAGUUCUAAGAACUUGUGUUACCAAAAUAGUGUUAUGUGGCUGGUCAGAAUGCAUUGGCCAUGCUGAUAUUGGCUCUCCCAUGUUGAUGCUCUCCAUGCACGAGUUCCACCCACAGUGACUCGUGAACCCUCCCGUUGAUGGGUGUGCUAGCUUUAUUGGAUAAGAAAACUUUGUUGGAAAAGACUACUCUAAUUUUUGUUUGUUUUUGUGCUAGCUUGUGCUUUUAACUAUUGUUUCGAUUCUUUCUAACCAGUAUAGAGCCCGUCUGUGGGACUGGGUAUUGAUAUGUUGCCGGGACUCCCUCAGGGCCUCAAGAUAGAUGUUUUUCAAUGUAACUGCUAGCAAGUUGAAGGAUGAAGUUAAUAAUCAAGGUUAUUCUUAUCAUGUCAUAUUGAUAACACCCCUCAUGAAAAGGGUUCAAGAUGACGGUGAAGGAAAAGAAGCUAAGGAUCCAUCAAAUUAGUCCAACUCAUAAAGCUAUUAAUGAUUUGAAAAGGCCUUGUAAAAUAUGUAUUUCUUUUGUUAUUUUUUUUUUGUAAGGUUUGAAUAAGUUGAUAGUAGACAUUAUCUAAUUGACUUAUUUUCUUUGUGAUGAAACAAAAUAUUUUAGUGUGUAUUUAAUCAUUAACAUUAUUAUGUACUA